This 635-nucleotide ribosomal RNA is filed under the name Phyllactinia fraxini. RNAcentral's name for it is "partial large subunit ribosomal RNA". It matches the Rfam family "Eukaryotic large subunit ribosomal RNA", at positions 82 to 731 of the family's 3401-position model. Lineage: Eukaryota; Fungi; Ascomycota; Leotiomycetes; Helotiales; Erysiphaceae. The record is from RNAcentral.
AGUAACGGCGAGUGAAGCGGUAACAGCUCAAAUUUGAAAUCUGGCUCCCUGCGGAGUCCGAGUUGUAAUUUGUAGAAGAUGCUUUGGGUGCUCGGCCCGGUCUAAGUUCCUUGGAACAGGACGUCGUAGAGGGUGAGAAUCCCGUAUGCGGCCGGGGUGGGUGCUCGUGUAAAGCUCUUUCGACGAGUCGAGUUGUUUGGGAAUGCAGCUCAAAAUGGGUGGUAAAUUUCAUCUAAAGCUAAAUAUGGGCCAGAGACCGAUAGCGCACAAGUAGAGUGAUCGAAAGAUGAAAAGCACUUUGGAAAGAGAGUUAAACAGUACGUGAAAUUGUUGAAAGGGAAGCGCUUGCAACCAGACUUGGGCGUCGCUGAUCAUCCAAAGUUUUCUUUGGUGCACUCGACGACGUACAGGCCAGCAUCGGUUGGGGUGGUGGGAGAAAGGUUGUAGGAACGUAGCUCUUUUCGGGGAGUGUUAUAGCCUGCGACGCAAUGCCGCCUACCCUGACCGAGGACCGCGCUUCGGCUAGGAUGCUGGCGUAAUGGUUGUAAGCGACCCGUCUUGAAACACGGACCAAGGAGUCUAACAUCUAUGCGAGUGUUUGGGUGCGAAACCCAUGCGCGAAAUGAAAGUGAACG